Small nucleolar RNA from Anguilla rostrata (American eel), 132 nucleotides. RefSeq annotates it as small nucleolar RNA SNORA42/SNORA80 family. Lineage: Eukaryota; Metazoa; Chordata; Actinopteri; Anguilliformes; Anguillidae. The record is from RefSeq and is a predicted model, not a curated record. The transcript has a single exon.
GCAUGGCUUUGGAUUUGUGGCAGGGUCCUUUCCAUGGUCCUGUCAUAGUGUACUCUGUGCUAAAGCAAACUACUCCGAACCAUUGUCUGGCCUUUACACGUGGGCCCAGUCACUGAAGUGAGUGGAGCAGUA